RNAcentral lists this long non-coding RNA (237 nucleotides) under Bos taurus (domestic cattle). Its description in RNAcentral is "long non-coding RNA NONBTAT025405". Lineage: Eukaryota; Metazoa; Chordata; Mammalia; Artiodactyla; Bovidae. The record is from RNAcentral.
GGCAUAAUGAAGGAACUGCAUCCUCUUAUAACCAGGUAGACAGAAAAAUCAGAGGAGGUAACCCAUUAUUAUAACGGAGUAUGAUUAAAUCACACUAUUCAACAAAGUUUAUUCCCAUAAGAAGAAAAAAGGUAUAAGGGAAGAUAUAAUUGUAGUUUAUUUAAUUUCAUCUUUUUACAUUACAAAAAUUACAGUAGUGUCUUUAAGUAAGCAUACACAAACCUACUGACUCUAGAC